GAUGAACGCUGGCGGCGUGCUUAACACAUGCAAGUCGAACGAAAAGACCCUGCUUGCGUGGUGUUCUCGAGGGGAACGGGUGUGUGACACACGAGUAUACCGCCCUUUACUCUUUGGUAUGCCUUGAGGAAUGGGUGUAUAAUCCCAUAUAGGAGUCCCCCCCACGUUGGGGGUUGGGGAGAUUUUCGGCUGUUGGGGAUGGACUCGCGGCUUAUGAGCUUGUUGGUGGGGUAGUGGCUUACCAAGGCCUAGACGGGUACCCGGCCUGAGAGGGUGACCGGCCACAUUGGGACUGAGAUACGGCCCAGACUCCUACGGGAGGCAGCAGUGGGGAAUAUUGCACAAUGGGCGGAAGCCUGAUGCAGCGACGCCGCGUGCGGGAUGACGGCCUUCGGGUUGUAAACCGCUUUCGGUUGUGACGAAGCGAGAGUGACGGUACCUGGAAAAGAAGCACCGGCUAACUACGUG
RNAcentral lists this ribosomal RNA (468 nucleotides) under uncultured bacterium. RNAcentral's name for it is "partial 16S ribosomal RNA". It matches the Rfam family "Bacterial small subunit ribosomal RNA", at positions 28 to 507 of the family's 1533-position model. The record is from RNAcentral.